CCGGCGCACGGGUGAGUAACACGUAUCCAACCUGCCGUCUACUCUUGGACAGCCUUCUGAAAGGAAGAUUAAUACAAGAUGGCAUCAUGAGUCCGCAUGUUCACAUGAUUAAAGGUAUUCCGGUAGACGAUGGGGAUGCGUUCCAUUAGAUAGUAGGCGGGGUAACGGCCCACCUAGUCUUCGAUGGAUAGGGGUUUUGAGAGGAAGGUCCCCCACAUUGGAACUGAGACACGGUCCAA
This 239-nucleotide ribosomal RNA is filed under the name uncultured bacterium. RNAcentral describes it as "partial 16S ribosomal RNA". It matches the Rfam family "Bacterial small subunit ribosomal RNA", at positions 95 to 334 of the family's 1533-position model. The record is from RNAcentral.